RNAcentral lists this ribosomal RNA (402 nucleotides) under uncultured bacterium. Its description in RNAcentral is "bacterial SSU rRNA". It matches the Rfam family "Bacterial small subunit ribosomal RNA", at positions 355 to 774 of the family's 1533-position model. The record is from RNAcentral.
UGGGGAAUAUUGCACAAUGGGCGAAAGCCUGAUGCAGCAACGCCGCGUGAGUGAUGAAGGCCUUCGGGUUGUAAAGCUCUGUCUUCUGGGACGAUAAUGACGGUACCAGAGGAGGAAGCCACGGCUAACUACGUGCCAGCAGCCGCGGUAAUACGUAGGUGGCAAGCGUUGUCCGGAUUUACUGGGCGUAAAGGAUGCGUAGGCGGAUACCUAAGUCAGAUGUGAAAAUCCCGGGCUUAACUUGGGAACUGCAUUUGAAACUGGGUAUCUAGAGUGCGGGAGAGNAAAGUGGAAUUCCUAGUGUAGCGGUGAAAUGCGUAGAGAUUAGGAAGAACACCAGUGGCGAAGGCGACUUUCUGGACCGUAACUGACGCUGAGGCAUGAAAGCGUGGGGAGCAAACA